This 250-nucleotide ribosomal RNA is filed under the name uncultured bacterium. RNAcentral describes it as "partial 16S ribosomal RNA". It matches the Rfam family "Bacterial small subunit ribosomal RNA", at positions 524 to 773 of the family's 1533-position model. The record is from RNAcentral.
UACGUAGGGUGCGAGCGUUAAUCGGAAUUACUGGGCGUAAAGCGUGCGCAGGCGGUCUGUUAAGACAGGUGUGAAAUCCCCGGGCUUAACCUGGGAACUGCGCUUGUGACUGGCAGGCUAGAGUACGGCAGAGGGGGGUGGAAUUCCUGGUGUAGCAGUGAAAUGCGUAGAUAUCAGGAGGAACACCGAUGGCGAAGGCAGCCCCCUGGGCCUGUACUGACGCUCAUGCACGAAAGCGUGGGGAGCAAAC